Molecule: long non-coding RNA, 1568 nt
Organism: Scatophagus argus
Lineage: Eukaryota; Metazoa; Chordata; Actinopteri; Scatophagidae
Exons: 8
Source: RefSeq, a predicted model, not a curated record
CUUAAGUUACAGAGAUGUGCACCCCAGUGCGCAUGUCCAUUUCCGGUUAGCGCGCAUCUACCGCUACCGCCAAACUCAUUCAAACGCAAGAGGUCAAAGUCGUGCACCUGGCUACAGUGCUCUCACCGACGGCUGACUCCAACGUUGAUUUCGCCUGCCUUAGGUGGUGCCUGUGACAGUGAAGUUGGUGGCAGUUGGAAAAGAGGUACCCUUGGUACCAGAUAACUGUCUUACCCAGCCAGACCAACACAGUCGUCCCACUGCACCUCCUUCCUCAUUGCUGCUUCACUGAUAAGAAGCUUUUCUCAGCAGACUGGACCAAAAUCCUUCUGAGACGAAUAUAGACAACUGUUUGGUGCCAAUCGCUCGAUCGCCUCUUCACAAACCAAUGACAUCACCACAGCACGCACUGCUGUCCUGCAGUCUCUGCCCCUGUAUCUUGGAGAUUAUUCCAAAGAAAUUCUUCCUCAGCUGCUCAGAUUCAGACUCUGCAUGUGGCUUCACCCAGCUGCCUGUUGGGGUUCUGACAAUCAUCCUUGAAGGAAACAUUGUCAUGGAUGAGAUUCCCACAACCUCUCAAGCACUUUGUCUUCUGUUCAGCUUAAUGUAUGCACCCCAUCUGGAUUACCCCAAAGGGAAGAGAGCUCAUGAUUAUACGUUGUGAUUAAAGUGCUGCGAUGCAGACAGAAGGGCUGAAUGAGCAGAGCGAAGCCGCAUUGACGAGCUGUUCUGAAGCGAGAAGUCGACGAUGGAGCACAGACGAACAGCACAGAAGCCCGGUUUGUCCACUGCUCCGAGUGCAACGGCAACAUGAUGGUCAGAAUCCAGCAAGCUCUCCUGCAGACACACAUACAGGCAUCAUCAAAUGCAAGGUCUGUGUCUAGAAGCUGCAGGGGUGACAUCGUCAGAGGUCAGCAGGAAGUAAUAAGUCUCAUCACUGCCCUCUGAUCGAGCCAAUCAGCACCCAGUGAGGAAGAGGACACCCGGUCAACAGCACUGCUGCUCAUCUCCUCUCUCUGUUAACACCUGGAGCUCUGAGCGUGUCCAUUUGUAUAUAAGACAAAUGUGACAAAUUGAUUCAGUUCACUUGAGGUCAGUGCAUUCACUGAUCACAAGUGAUGGUGUGUGUCGCUGUUCUUGAGGACAUACAGAGAGACGGCCAGCUUCACUGAGGUGUGUUAGUGCAGCUCUACAUUGUUAUGCGAUUAAACACGUUUAAACUUUCAAAACAUGAGACUUUAUUGUGAGAACUUUCUUUUUAUAGAAAUUUGCCUAACAGGAGCUUCUGUUUAAUGUGAGGUUAUAAUAUAUUAUAGUCUCAAAACCCAAAGGCUUCAUUUACUCUCAUAAAUUACAAAGAAAAGAAAAAAUCCUUAAAGCAUUAAUCGAUUACCAAUAAUCAAUAUCAGAAUAGUUGCCUAUUGAUAUUCCUUUGAUCAAAUAAUCAAGUAACUGAGUAAUCUUCAGGGCUCUAAUCUACUUUCUGUUCCCUCAUGUUUUGGACAGCAUUAAAUUAUUCCAUUGAUGAUAACAAUAACACAUUCAUUAAAAUCUUUGACUUUGGUUUA